RNAcentral lists this ribosomal RNA (1458 nucleotides) under uncultured bacterium. Its description in RNAcentral is "partial 16S ribosomal RNA". It matches the Rfam family "Bacterial small subunit ribosomal RNA". The record is from RNAcentral.
AGAGUUUGAUCAUGGCUCAGGAUGAACGCUUGCGGCGCGCCUAACCCAUGCAAGUCGUACGAUCCCGCAAGGGAGAGUGGCGGAAGGGUGCGUAACACGUAGAAAUCUACCUCGCCGGAGGGAAUAACCCCUCGAAAGAGGGGCUAAUACCCAAAAGGAUCCGCAAGGAUCAGAGUCCGCAAGGGCCUGGCGAGAGGAGUCUGCGGCCCAUCAGCUAGUUGGUGAGGUAAUGGCUUACCAAGGCUACGACGGGUAGGGGGUCUGAGAGGAUGUCCCCCCACACUGGAACUGAAACACGGUCCAGACGCCUACGGGUGGCAGCAGGGAGGAAUAUUGGACAAUGGGGGAAACCCCGAUCCAGCAACGCCGCGUGAGGGAUGAAGGCCUUCGGGUUGUAAACCUCUUUUCAGGGAGACGAGAAAGGACGGUAUCCCUGGAAUAAGUCACGGCUAACUACGUGCCAGCAGCCGCGGUAAUACGUAGGUGGCGAGCGUUAUCCGGAUUUACUGGGCGUAAAGCGCUUGUAGGUGGCCUUGUAAGUUGGGCGUGAAAGCUCCGGGCUUAACUCGGAGAGGCCGUCCAAUACUGCAGGGCUCGAGGAUGUCAGAGGAAGGUGGAAUUCCUGGUGUAGUGGUGAAAUGCGUAGAUAUCAGGAGGAACACCCGUGGCGAAGGCGGCCUUCUGGGGCAUUCCUGACACUGAGGAAGCGAAAGCUAGGGGAGCGAACGGGAUUAGAUACCCCGGUAGUCCUAGCCGUAAACGAUGGGUGCUAGGUGUUGCCCGUAUCGACCCGGGCAGUGCCGUAGCUAACGCGUUAAGUAUCCCGCCUGGGGAGUACGCUCGCAAGAGUGAAACUCAAAGGAAUUGACGGGGGCCCGCACAAGCGGUGGAGUAUGUGGUUUAAUUCGAUGCAACGCGAAGAACCUUACCAGGGUUUGACAUGUCCGGAACCUCGGUGAAAGCUGAGGGUGCCUUCGGGAACCGGAACACAGGUGCUGCAUGGCUGUCGUCAGCUCGUGUCGUGAGAUGUUGGGUUAAGUCCCGCAACGAGCGCAACCCUUGUCGUUAGUUGCCAGCAUGAAGAUGGGCACUCUAGCGAGACUGCCGGUGACAAACCGGAGGAAGGUAAGGAUGACGUCAAGUCAGCAUGGCCCUUACAUCCUGGGCUACACACGUACUACAAUGCUACGGACAAAGGGCAGCCAACCUGCGAAGGAGAGCAAAUCCCGUAAACCGUGGCACAGUUCAGAUUGCAGGCUGCAACUCGCCUGCAUGAAGGCGGAAUCGCUAGUAAUCGCCGGUCAGCAUACGGCGGUGAAUACGUUCCCGGGCCUUGUACACACCGCCCGUCACACCAUGGGAGUUGGCCACGCCCGAAGUCGUUACUCCAACCGGUGACGGAGGAGGACGCCGAAGGUAGGGCUGAUGACUGGGGUGAAGUCGUAACAAGGUAACGUA